GAUCUUGUAGCUCAGUUGGUAGAGCAUUGGACUAGCAAAUCAAAGGUCGUGGGUUCAAUUCCCACCUUGGUCA
This 73-nucleotide transfer RNA is filed under the name Paramuricea clavata. It matches the Rfam family "tRNA". From Rfam's summary of the family: Transfer RNA (tRNA) molecules are approximately 80 nucleotides in length. Their secondary structure includes four short double-helical elements and three loops (D, anti-codon, and T loops). Lineage: Eukaryota; Metazoa; Cnidaria; Anthozoa; Malacalcyonacea; Plexauridae. The record is from Rfam by way of RNAcentral.